Molecule: ribosomal RNA, 735 nt
Filed under: uncultured Bacilli bacterium
Lineage: Bacteria; Bacillati; Bacillota; Bacilli
Description: bacterial SSU rRNA
Rfam family: Bacterial small subunit ribosomal RNA
Source: RNAcentral
UACAUGCAAGUCGAACGCUUUUUUUUUCACCGGAGCUUGCUCCACCGAAAGAAAAGGAGUGGCGAACGGGUGAGUAACACGUGGGUAACCUGCCCAUCAGAAGGGGAUAACACUUGGAAACAGGUGCUAAUACCGUAUAACAAUAGAAACCGCAUGGUUUCUAUUUGAAAGGCGCUUUUGCGUCACUGGUGGAUGGACCCGCGGUGCAUUAGCUAGUUGGUGAGGUAACGGCUCACCAAGGCAACGAUGCAUAGCCGACCUGAGAGGGUGAUCGGCCACAUUGGGACUGAGACACGGCCCAAACUCCUACGGGAGGCAGCAGUAGGGAAUCUUCGGCAAUGGACGAAAGUCUGACCGAGCAACGCCGCGUGAGUGAAGAAGGUUUUCGGAUCGUAAAACUCUGUUGUUAGAGAAGAACAAGGAUGAGAGUAGAAUGUUCAUCCCUUGACGGUAUCUAACCAGAAAGCCACGGCUAACUACGUGCCAGCAGCCGCGGUAAUACGUAGGUGGCAAGCGUUGUCCGGAUUUAUUGGGCGUAAAGCGAGCGCAGGGGGUUUCUUAAGUCUGAUGUGAAAGCCCCCGGCUCAACCGGGGAGGGUCAUUGGAAACUGGGAAACUUGAGUGCAGAAGAGGAGAGUGGAAUUCCAUGUGUAGCGGUGAAAUGCGUAGAUAUAUGGAGGAACACCAGUGGCGAAGGCGGCUCUCUGGUCUGUAACUGACGCUGAGGCUCGAAAG